Non-coding RNA from Caenorhabditis elegans, 21 nucleotides. The record is from Ensembl. NCBI's taxonomy places the organism in Eukaryota, Metazoa, Nematoda, Chromadorea, Rhabditida, Rhabditidae.
UUUAAUCCUACUUAAUACUGA